ACGGUGACGCACUGGGCAACUGUCGCCGAUAUCAAAAACCGCCACUGAUACCAAGUACGUUACCUUCUUGUCCUGCGCCAUCCACAACUUACUCACAUACUCAAGUAAUGUUACUCGAGUAUUACUAUUUGAGUUGUAUUAUACUUGAUUAGUUGGGAGAAGUAUCGAGACAAGUUCUGAAAAAUGCACCGACUUCCCAGAUAAACAGAUGUCACCAUUGGAAGUCACCAAGAAACUGCAGUAAUGAUUAUUCACUUCAUUGCGGCGUUCUCCCUCUUAAGUCAUGUAGUAUCUCCAGUGAAACACUCCCUGAAGUUGAUUUUCAUUGAAUCAUCUGGAGUCCAAGACUUUGUGGGUGUCCUGUGGGCUGAUGAAACUGAGCUGGUGCACUGCAAUACCAACCUUAACAAAGCAGAACCAAAACCAAACUGGCUUAAAGAAUUCAUGAAAAGCAAUCAAGAACACAACGACUUGUACACUCAAGAGUGUCUUCAUAGUCAACAUUUUUUUAAAGACACAUUAAAUGUAUUGAGAAGGAGUUGCAGCCAAACUGAAGGUGUUCACACCCUUCAGAGAAUGUAUGGAUGUGAAUGGGACAAUGAGACUGAAGAGGUCAAAGGUUUUGAUCGAUAUGGUUAUGAUGGAGAAGACCUUAUGGAAUUUAACCAGGAGACACAGACAUGGCUCAUUUCAACUCCUUGUGCUAGCAUUGUCAAACACAAGUUAGACAAUCAGCAAAUUAGAAUAGCAGAUAUUAACCAUUACCUCACAAAUGUGUGUUCUAAAUGGCUAAAAAAGUAUCUGGACUAUGGAAAAUAUUUUCUACAACGAACAGACUGGCCCUCAGUGUCUCUCCUCCAGAAGACUCCCUCCUCUCCAGUCAGCUGCCACGCUACAGGUUUCUAUCCUGACCGAGCCGUCAUGUUCUGGAGGAAAGAUGGAAAAAAACUUUAUCAAUUGACGGACCGUGAACAGAUAUACCCUAAUCAGGACAGGACGUUCCAAAUUAAUGUAGUCCUAAAACUUUCAUCAGUCACUGUCACAACCCGGCUCAUAGGAAGUGACAAACAAAUGGGAGACCACACACAGGCUUCUAAAGGCUGUAAAACAUAUUUAAUGAAAAUAAGGUAAAGUAACUUAAACACAAUGUAAAGGACAUAACAGCCAUAACUGAAACUUCCAAACGAACAAGACGGGAGCCAGAGACAGAGCCAGUCAGAGCAAGAGAGACCCAGCUGGUUCAGUCAAAGUGUCUUUUAUAUGCACUGGGACUGGCCUACUCAGGUGUGCUGCAUCUGUAAUUGGGUCAGCUCCACCUACCUGCAAAAACAGGUAAAAGCAAAAGCAAAACACAAGGCCAGCCCACUGGCCGUCACAUCACACCUGAGGAUUGGUCAAGGUAUGACUGUGUGUUUCAGCUUUCUGCUGUCAAAGAAGACAUCAUCAUCAAACUGGACCAAAAAGUGAUCAAGAGUAACAGAGAUUAUUUAAUCUGUACAAGUCCCGAAGAGAACAAUGAUUAUUACCUCAAAGUUUUUGUGGGGUUUUUUUUUUGUUCUGCUCAUCACAGUCCUUGUUUUCAUCGUGUACAAGAUUACAGUUGACGAAAGCAAUCAAAAGAAAGACUUGGAGACUUUGAAGUACUCCCCCAUCGCUGCACUGGUUCUUGCUCUCAUCCUUUGUUGUUUAACUGGAGUUCACUUUUAUAAAACAAAUACUGAUUUCUCCGUAAUUCUUCGAUCUGAUUAUGCGUUGAAAUGGAGAGAGCCAUUACCUGGAAUACAAUGGGGACCCUGAAACAGGACGUAAUUAUAAGACCUUGACUUUACAUUAUUGAAGCAUUAAUGCAUUUGUUUUUUUAUUUACUGUUGAUUGAUGUGCACCCUAUUUUUUCGCUGACUUGUUGAAUGGACAUUAUAUGGCUCACUACUUGAAUGCAAACACAAGGCUGUGUUUGUAUAUUAUUUCAGUGCAAACUGUGUUUUGAAUUUAUCUUUGUACUGUGGAUUCAUAACUGUGUAGACUCACAAAUUAUCACGGUUAGCACUGGCCAACCGUGGGGAUGUGAGGAAGAAGGACCCAAAUGCUGGACUCUUUAUGAUAAACAGUGCAUUUAUUUACAGUGGUGUAAAUAAUCCACAGAAUAAUAAGUCCCCGUGUGUUCCCUUGACUCCCUUGUCGUGUCUUCCACCCACAAGUCCGUGCUCUUCCACUCCUGUGUGUCCCGCCACCCCGUGCUCACUGCUCUUGUCUUCCACGCUCCUUCCUGGAUAAAAUAACAAAGAAGCAACCAUCAGGAUACUCAACCACUGCAGGCAUGCACUCACUUAACUUGCCUCACAAAGACCACUGACGUGGAGUCUCACACAACAAUCCCGCGCCGAGGAGCGCUCGGCCACACUCUUAAGUAGCUCCCCGAUGAGGCUUCAUUAGCUGCAGGUGUGUGUGAUCAUCCGCUUCAGGCGUGGCCAGCCUCCAGAUGGGACACACCUACCAGGCCUGCCUGAAACCCAGUGCUCAGCCACACUCACAGACACACCCACUUGCCUAUACAUACAAGCAUGGAGAACACAAGAAUAGCAGCACAGUGCAGCAAACAUACAUCAUAUAUCAGUCCAUAACUGCUCAUGGACCCUGGAUCACUCAGAUCCAGGUCCCUGACACAAAUAAAACUAUGGGGAUGUUUGAGUAGUAAGUAAUGUUAGAGCAGAAAUGGAAAUGGGUUUAUGGCUGUCAUUUCUUCAAAGCUUGAUUUGUUUAAAAAAAAAAAAAAAGUUUUCAUCCUAAGUCUACGAGAUGGCAGCAGAGACUCUGUAAAUCUCCCUUUAGGGCUCACAGCAGAUUUUUGUCAGUGCGACUUGUCAUACAGUCCCGAUCAAAAGUUUAAAGACCAGUUGAAAAAUGGCAAAAAAAAUCAUAUUUUGCAUGGUUGGAUCUUCACAAGGUUCCAAGUCGAGCUUCAACACGCAACAAGAAGAAAUGAGACAAAACAUUUUUUGAGCAUGCAAUUUAUCGAAACCAACACUUAAACUGAAACAGGCUGUUUUACAGCUGAUCAGAAGUUUAGGACCACACCUGCAAAAAAACCCAUAAACUCCCCAAAACAGAAAUCAAAGUUCCAAACAUGAACUCAAUAAUGAGUAGCUCCACCGUUAUUGUUAAUCACUUCAAAAUUCAUUGAGGCAUACUUGAUGUAAGCGUUUCCAUGAGGUGAGUGGGAACAUUUCCCGAAGUGGUGAAGACGGCCACACGAAGGCAAUCUACUGUCUGGAACUGUUGUGUCUGGAUAUGUUCUAGCCUUUUUAAAGGUAUAAUACAAAGUGAUUAUCUUUUUGUGUUUACAAACACUGCCCCGCUCAACAAGUGAGCAGUGUCGGUCAAACCAGUUAGAAGAUAAAUAUAGAGAAGCAGCAUUAGCAAAAAGCCAUGAAUAAUACAUAAUUAUCAGAAAUGACAUGAAGUGACAAAGUAAAUAUAACAUUUUUUUUAAUCUGUCUAACUUAUAAACUUUUUAUGUUUGAUCUAUAUUAUAUAUGUGGGAUGGGAUUUAUGGGAUUUGGACAGCUGCAUUCAAAAAGAACAUAUUUCUUCUUCACAUACUAAAUGCCAAAUUCUAUAACCUGUUUGUGUGUUUUGAUUUUUGAGCUGGCUGUAUAUAUUUUUAAAAAGUGCAAAUUUGGGAGUAUGGAUUAAAACACAAAUUCAAAAAAUAAACUCUGCAUUUCCACAA
Molecule: RNA transcript, 3730 nt
Organism: Oreochromis niloticus (Nile tilapia)
Lineage: Eukaryota; Metazoa; Chordata; Actinopteri; Cichliformes; Cichlidae
Exons: 9
Source: RefSeq, a predicted model, not a curated record